This 385-nucleotide ribosomal RNA is filed under the name uncultured bacterium. RNAcentral describes it as "bacterial SSU rRNA". It matches the Rfam family "Bacterial small subunit ribosomal RNA", at positions 28 to 431 of the family's 1533-position model. The record is from RNAcentral.
GAUGAAUGCUGGCGGCGUGCCUAAUACAUGCAAGUCGAGCGGUAAGGCCCUUCGGGUACGACGAGCGGCGGACGGCUGAGUAACGCGUGGGAACAUGCCCCAAAGUGAGGGAUAACGCACCGAAAGGUGUGCUAAUACCGCAUAUGGUCUUCGGAUUAAAGGAUUAUCCGCUUUGGGAGUGGCCCGCGUACGAUUAGAUUGUUGGUGAGGUAACGGCUCACCAAAGUCGACGAUCGUUAACUGGUCUGAGAGGAUGAUCAGUCAGACUGGAACUGAGACACGGUCCAGACUCCUACGGGAGGCAGCAGUAAGGAAUCUUCCACAAUGGGCGAAAGCCUGAUGGAGCAACGCCGCGUGCAGGAUGAAGGCCCUCGGGUCGUAAACU